This is a long non-coding RNA of Anneissia japonica, 856 nucleotides long. RefSeq lists it as uncharacterized. The transcript has 3 exons. Lineage: Eukaryota; Metazoa; Echinodermata; Crinoidea; Comatulida; Comatulidae. The record is from RefSeq and is a predicted model, not a curated record.
CGGGGAUCCGAAAAUCACCAAAAUACCGUAUUAGUACGCUUGCCUUUGGAUUUGUUUUAGUCUUUGCCUCUGGAAAGUAGGCCUACCUGUACUUGCCUCAGUUUGCAUCUUAAAUAGGCUACCAACACCAGAAGUGGAAUAUUUCUGUAGUAUCUAUCUUCAUUUCCGUAUGUCCGUAAUUGGGCCAAAUUUCCGUAGAAAGGGGUAGCAACUACGGACAAUCUGUAGCACUUGAGAAGUCUGUAAGCACACCAAUACUUAUCUGCUGUCUUAGGUAUACAGGCCUCAUGAAGCAAUUCUACCCUUGCAGCAUGCUGUUACAGUGAUAUGUGUACCUGACUUUUACAGAAAUCUGUGAGAGUAUACCAUCAAUGAUUGACACACACGGUAGACAGGUUUAUAUGAAAUAUCACCAACAAUAGAAUUUAACUGGAAUUAUUCCUAUCAAGUUGCAAGGAAAUUAAUAUGAGUGAAAGUCUAUUAUGCAAAGUUUUACUUUUGGGGGAGGAUUACAUUGGAAAGACAAGUUUACUUCAACGAUAUCAUUAUGAUAGAUUUCGUGUUCAAGUCCCAGCUGUAAGUAAUAUCUUAAGACUGUUUCCAUAUUCCUAAUACUGUAUGUAUUUAAAAAUCCUGAAUCUCUUGAUCAGUUGCGAUGUGGUUCACAUGAAUGGCUGAUAUUCCUCAGUUGGUUGUCUGGCUCAGACACCUACUUCAAAACUUUACAGUACUCACUUUAUAUUAAAUAAAUGUUUUUGAUGGUUUUUUUUUUUUUAUGAUAGUAUAGAAUUAUUUUGUUUAUAAAUUCCUAACUUCAAAUAAACAGGCCUACGAUUGUGCACAAACACUUUGUUAA